This 253-nucleotide ribosomal RNA is filed under the name uncultured bacterium. RNAcentral's name for it is "partial 16S ribosomal RNA". It matches the Rfam family "Bacterial small subunit ribosomal RNA", at positions 524 to 776 of the family's 1533-position model. The record is from RNAcentral.
UACGUAGGGUGCAAGCGUUGUCCGGAAUUAUUGGGCGUAAGGAGCUCGUAGGCGGUUUGUUGCGUCGGCUGUGAAAUCCCGAGGCUCAACCUCGGGUCUGCAGUCGAUACGAGCAAACUAGAGUGUUGCAGGGGAGACUGGAAUUCCUGGUGUAGCGGUGAAAUGCGCAGAUAUCAGGAGGAACACCGGUGGCGAAGGCGGUUCUCUGGGCAUGUCCUGACGCUGAGGAGCGAAAGUGUGGGGAGCGAACAGG